Molecule: ribosomal RNA, 492 nt
Filed under: uncultured bacterium
Lineage: Bacteria
Description: partial 16S ribosomal RNA
Rfam family: Bacterial small subunit ribosomal RNA
Source: RNAcentral
AGUGAACGCUGGCGGUAGGCCUAACACAUGCAAGUCGAACGGCAGCACAGUAAGAGCUUGCUCUUACGGGUGGCGAGUGGCGGACGGGUGAGGAAUACAUCGGAAUCUACUUUUUCGUGGGGGAUAACGUAGGGAAACUUACGCUAAUACCGCAUACGACCUACGGGUGAAAGCAGGGGAUCUUCGGACCUUGCGCGAUUGAAUGAGCCGAUGUCGGAUUAGAUAGUUGGCGGGGUAAAGGCCCACCAAGGCGACGAUCCGUAGCUGGUCUGAGAGGAUGGUCAGCGACACUGGAACUGAGACACGGUCCAGACUCCUACGGGAGGCAGCAGUGUGGAAUAUUGGACAAUGGGCGCAAGCCUGAUCCAGCCAUACCGCGUGGGUGAAGAAGGCCUUCGGGUUGUAAAGCCCUUUUGUUGGGAAAGAAAAGCAGCAGGUUAAUACCCCGCUGUUCUGACGGUACCCAAAGAAUAAGCACCGGCUAACUUCGUG